This 401-nucleotide ribosomal RNA is filed under the name uncultured bacterium. RNAcentral's name for it is "bacterial SSU rRNA". It matches the Rfam family "Bacterial small subunit ribosomal RNA", at positions 975 to 1375 of the family's 1533-position model. The record is from RNAcentral.
CUGGGCUCGAACGGCUUAAGAUCGACUGUAGAAAUAUGGUUUUCCCGCAAGGGACUUGAGUCGAGGUGCUGCAUGGCUGUCGUCAGCUCGUGUGGUGACAUGUUGGGUUAAGUCCCGCAACGAGCGCAACCCUUGUCCUUAGUUGCCAGCAUUCAGUUGGGCUCUCUAAGGAGACUGCCGUGGUUAACACGGAGGAAGGUGGGGAUGACGUCAAGUCCUCAUGGCCUUUAUAUCCAGGGCUACACACGUGCUACAAUGGCCGAUACAGAGGGAAGCUAAGCCGUGAGGUGGAGCAAAUCCUUAAAGUCGGCCCCAGUUCGGAUUGUAGUCUGCAACUCGACUACAUGAAGUUGGAAUUGCUAGUAAUGGCGAGUCAGCAACAUCGCCGUGAAUACGUUCCC